RNAcentral lists this ribosomal RNA (301 nucleotides) under uncultured bacterium. Its description in RNAcentral is "partial 16S ribosomal RNA". It matches the Rfam family "Bacterial small subunit ribosomal RNA", at positions 509 to 807 of the family's 1533-position model. The record is from RNAcentral.
CAGCAGCCACGGUAAUACGUAGGUGGCAAGCGUUGUCCGGAAUUAUUGGGCGUAAAGGGCUCGCAGGCGGUUUCUUAAGUCUGAUGUGAAAGCCCCCGGCUCAACCGGGGAGGGUCAUUGGAAACUGGGAAACUUGAGUGCAGAAGAGGAGAGUGGAAUUCCACGUGUAGCGGUGAAAUGCGUAGAGAUGUGGAGGAACACCAGUGGCGAAGGCGACUCUCUGGUCUGUAACUGACGCUGAGGAGCGAAAGCGUGGGGAGCGGACAGGAUUAGAUACCCGUGUAGUCCCUGUCUCUUAUAC